RNAcentral lists this ribosomal RNA (1078 nucleotides) under uncultured bacterium. Its description in RNAcentral is "bacterial SSU rRNA". It matches the Rfam family "Bacterial small subunit ribosomal RNA", at positions 412 to 1504 of the family's 1533-position model. The record is from RNAcentral.
CGCCCUUGGGGGUUAAACACUUUUUUUUCUGGAGGGAGAAACUCAAAGGCCUUUCCCUGGAGGAAUAAGCUUUGGGAUAAUUCCGUCCCCAGCAGCCGCGGUAAGACGGAGGAUCCAAGUGUUAUCCGGAAUCACUGGGCGUAAAGCGUCUGUAGGUGGCUUAACAAGUCAACUGUUAAAUCUUGAAGCUCAACUUCGAAAUCGCAGUCGAAACUGUUAGGCUAGAGUAUAGUAGGGGUAAAGGGAAUUUCCAGUGGAGCGGUGAAAUGCGUAGAGAUUGGAAAGAACACCGAUGGCGAAGGCACUUUACUGGGCUAUUACUGACACUCAGAGACGAAAGCUAGGGUAGCAAAUGGGAUUAGAUACCCCAGUAGUCCUAGCCGUAAACAAUGGAUACUAGAUGUUGGGCAGAUCGACCUGUUCAGUAUUAAAGCUAACGCGUUAAGUAUCCCGCCUGGGAAGUAUGCGCGCAAGCGUGAAACUCAAAGGAAUUGACGGGGGCCCGCACAAGCGGUGGAGCAUGUGGUUUAAUUCGAUGCAACGCGAAGAACCUUACCAGGGUUUGACAUGAUACGAAUUUUUUUGAAAGAAAAAAGUGCCGUUUGGAACGUAUACACAGGUGGUGCAUGGCUGUCGUCAGCUCGUGUCGUGAGGUGUUGGGUUAAGUCCCGCAACGAGCGCAACCCUUGUUUUUAGUUGCCUUUUAUGGAACUCUAAAAAGACUGCUGGUUAUAAACCGGAGGAAGGUGGGGAUGACGUCAAGUCAGCAUGCCCCUUACACCCUGGGCUACACACGUGCUACAUUGGGCGAGACAAUGAGAUGCAAAUCUGCGAAGACUAGCUAAUCUAUAAACUCGUUCUAAGUUCGGAUUGUAGGCUGCAACUCGCCUACAUGAAGGUGGAAUCGCUAGUAAUCGCUGGUCAGCUACACAGCGGUGAAUUCGUUCCCGGGCCUUGUACACACCGCCCGUCACACCAUGGAAGCUGGUUAUGCCCGAAGUCAUUACUCUAACCAUUCGGAGGAGGGUGCCUAAGGUAGAAUUAGUGACUAGGGUGAAGUCGUAACAAGGUAACCGUA